GAUGAACGCUGGCGGCGUGCCUAAUACAUGCAAGUCGAGCGAACAGACGAGGAGCUUGCUCCUCUAACGUUAGCGGCGGACGGGUGAGAAACACGUGGAUAACCUACCUAUAAGACUGGGAUAACUUCGGGAAACCGGAGCUAAUACCGGAUAAUAUAUUGAACCGCAUGGUUCAAUAGUGAAAGACGGUUUUGCUGUCACUUAUAGAUGGAUCCGCGCCGCAUUAGCUAGUUGGUAAGGUAACAGCUUACCAAGGCAACGAUGCGUAGCCGACCUGAGAGGGUGAUCGGCCACACUGGAACUGAGACACGGUCCAGACUCCUACGGGAGGCAGCAGUAGGGAAUCUUCCGCAAUGGGCGAAAGCCUGACGGAGCAACGCCGCGUGAGUGAUGAAGGUCUUCGGAUCGUAAAACUCUGUUAUUAGGGAAGAACAAAUGUGUAAGUAACUAUGCACGUCUUGACGGUACCUAAUCAGAAAGCCACGGCUAACUACGUG
RNAcentral lists this ribosomal RNA (497 nucleotides) under uncultured bacterium. RNAcentral describes it as "partial 16S ribosomal RNA". It matches the Rfam family "Bacterial small subunit ribosomal RNA", at positions 28 to 507 of the family's 1533-position model. The record is from RNAcentral.